GAUGAACGCUGGCGGCGUGCUUAACACAUGCAAGUCGAACGGACGAUGAAGAGCUUGCUUUUCAAAGUUAGUGGCGGACGGGUGAGUAACGCGUGGGUAACCUGCCUCAUACAGGGGGAUAGCAGCUGGAAACGGCUGAUAAAACCGCAUAAGCGCACAGCAUCGCAUGAUGCAGUGUGAAAAACUCCGGUGGUAUGAGAUGGACCCGCGUCUGAUUAGCUAGUUGGUGAGGUAACGGCCCACCAAGGCGACGAUCAGUAGCCGGCCUGAGAGGGUGACCGGCCACAUUGGGACUGAGACACGGCCCAAACUCCUACGGGAGGCAGCAGUGGGGAAUAUUGCACAAUGGGGGAAACCCUGAUGCAGCGACGCCGCGUGAAGGAAGAAGUAUCUCGGUAUGUAAACUUCUAUCAGCAGGGAAGAUAA
RNAcentral lists this ribosomal RNA (426 nucleotides) under uncultured bacterium. Its description in RNAcentral is "bacterial SSU rRNA". It matches the Rfam family "Bacterial small subunit ribosomal RNA", at positions 28 to 451 of the family's 1533-position model. The record is from RNAcentral.